UCCGGUUUGUCACCGGCAGUCUCGCAUGAGUCCCCAACUAAAUGCUGGCAACUAAGGACAGGGGUUGCGCUCGUUGCGGCACUUAAGCCAACACCUCACGGCACGAGCUGACGACAGCCAUGCAGCACCUGUGCUAGCCCCCGAAGGACACGGGCUUUCACCCGCUUUAACUAGCAUGUCAAGCCCAGGUAAGGUUCUUCGCGUUGCAUCGAAUUAAGCCACUUGCUCCGCCGCUUGUGUGAGCCCCCGUCAAUUCCUUUGAGUUUUAGCCUUGCGGCCGUACUCCCCAGGCGGGGCACUUAAUGCGUUAGCUACGGCACGGAGGACGUUGAUGAUCCCCCACACCUAGUGCCCAACGUUUACGGCGUGGACUAC
This 375-nucleotide unclassified non-coding RNA is filed under the name uncultured Actinomycetes bacterium. RNAcentral's name for it is "uncultured actinobacterium contains 16S-23S intergenic spacer region". Lineage: Bacteria; Bacillati; Actinomycetota; Actinomycetes. The record is from RNAcentral.